Molecule: ribosomal RNA, 500 nt
Filed under: uncultured bacterium
Lineage: Bacteria
Description: partial 16S ribosomal RNA
Rfam family: Bacterial small subunit ribosomal RNA
Source: RNAcentral
AUUGAACGCUGGCGGCAGGCCUAACACAUGCAAGUCGAGCGGUAGAGAGAAGCUUGCUUCUCUUGAGAGCGGCGGACGGGUAAGUAAUGCCUAGGAAUCUGCCUGGUAGUGGGGGAUAACGUUCGGAAACGGACGCUAAUACCGCAUACGUCCUACGGGAGAAAGCAGGGGACCUUCGGGCCUUGCGCUAUCAGAUGAGCCUAGGUCGGAUUAGCUAGUUGGUGAGGUAAUGGCUCACCAAGGCGACGAUCCGUAACUGGUCUGAGAGGAUGAUCAGUCACACUGGAACUGAGACACGGUCCAGACUCCUACGGGAGGCAGCAGUGGGGAAUAUUGGACAAUGGGCGAAAGCCUGAUCCAGCCAUGCCGCGUGUGUGAAGAAGGUCUUCGGAUUGUAAAGCACUUUAAGUUGGGAGGAAGGGCAGUUACCUAAUACGUGAUUGUUUUGACGUUACCGACAGAAUAAGCACCGGCUAACUCUGUGCCAGCAGCCGCCGUAA